GACGAACGCUGGCGGCGUGCUUAACACAUGCAAGUCGAACGGAAAGGCCCUGCUUUUGUGGGGUGCUCGAGUGGCGAACGGGUGAGUAACACGUGAGUAACCUGCCCUUGACUUUGGGAUAACUUCAGGAAACUGGGGCUAAUACCGGAUAGGAGCUCCUGCUGCAUGGUGGGGGUUGGAAAGUUUCGGCGGUUGGGGAUGGACUCGCGGCUUAUCAGCUUGUUGGUGGGGUAGUGGCUUACCAAGGCUUUGACGGGUAGCCGGCCUGAGAGGGUGACCGGCCACAAGAGGACUGAGGUACGGCCCAGACUGCUACGGGAGGCAGCAGUGGGGAAUAUUGCACAAUGGGCGGAAGCCUGAUGCAGCAACGCCGCGUGCGGGAUGACGGCCUUCGGGUUGUAAACCGCUUUCGCCUGUGACGAAGCGUGAGUGACGGUAAUGGGUAAAGAAGCACCGGCUAACUACGUG
This 468-nucleotide ribosomal RNA is filed under the name uncultured bacterium. Its description in RNAcentral is "partial 16S ribosomal RNA". It matches the Rfam family "Bacterial small subunit ribosomal RNA", at positions 28 to 507 of the family's 1533-position model. The record is from RNAcentral.